This is an RNA transcript of Beta vulgaris subsp. vulgaris (sugar beet), 6139 nucleotides long. RefSeq lists it as hypothetical. The transcript is spliced from 6 exons. The record is from RefSeq and is a predicted model, not a curated record. NCBI's taxonomy places the organism in Eukaryota, Viridiplantae, Streptophyta, Magnoliopsida, Caryophyllales, Amaranthaceae.
UUUCAUUUUUUCAAAUCUAAACUAGUAAACUCCCUUUACUCUCUCUAACAUAUGUGACGGAAAAACGAAACCCUAGCUCUAUGUUCUAUCUAGAAAAAUCCCUAAUUAGUUGCGAAAUUUGUUAAAUCAAAUUGGGGCUAACGCAGGAAAAAGCUCAGAAUUAAACCCUAAUUUCUGAACAAAACAACUUUGAUCGCUGGAGAUUUUGUGAUGUGUAAGAUCUGAGGUAUUUGGUAAGGACAUGAAUGGUGGACAUGUAGGUUGGGGAUUCUGGGUUAUGCUUAGUAGAUUGACUGCAUGUUAAUGGAAGAUAGAGCAGAAAAGACUCAUGGUACUGAGAAUGCUGAGAAAUCUAUGUCAUUGGAUCUGCAAAGGGUAUAUAAUCAGAAGCCCUGGGUUUCUGCUGUCAAAAAGCGUGGUUCUGGGAACGGUAGUAGUAGUAGUAAUGCCUUGAAGCGGAAACUUGAUUCUGAUGAUCAGAAUGAGGCUAGGAAAAAGAGUAAAAAGGAGGUGUUCUUGAGUAGUUUGUCGUCUGGGAAGAAGAGUAAGAAGAGUGCAGGUGGAGUCUCUGAGGGUAGGUUGAAACCUGUGGGCGCUGCCUCGGGUAAGCUAGAGUCACGGGAGGAUGUGAGAGGGGAUGGUGAUUGUAGUGGUUUAGGUGGCAUUUCUCUUAAUCUAAAUAGUAAUGUUACUAUUCCCAAGCGCCCUCGAGAUUUGGUCCGAAGAAAGAAGGUUGAGCCAGAUGUUGUGUCAAAGCAGGAGAGACCAUCGAGUAGUAUAGGAAAUUUAGCUGAAGGAAGAGGCAAGUUGAAUGGCACUUCAGACUGUACUUUGUCACAGAAUGGCAAUGCUAAUGGGAAAUUGCCUCAGAAUGGUGAAUCUGAGGGUACUUCUAAUGGCAAUGUCGUAGUGAAGGUCAAAAGGAAAAAUAAUUCUCAUGAUCAUAAAGAAAAUAGGUCUAGUGGUCCUGACUUGCUCCGGCAUUUGAAAAGAGAUGAUUCUCAUUCCUCUUUACAUGAUGAUUCAGUGACGAAGAAAGCUAGAAGAAAUCGUAAGAAAAAAAAAGAAACCAGAAUCGAAAGGCCUGUGCUCACAGUGGAAGCUAAGCAAGAGUCAAGUAGGAUUUGUGAUGAUUCUCAGGAUGAUGAGGAGAAUCUCGAGGCAAACGCAGCUAGGAUGCUUUCAUCCCGCUUUGAUCCAAGUUGCACGGGGUUCUCUGCCGGUGGCAAGAGCUCUAAAUUGCCUUCUGCAAAUGGCUUGUCAGCAUUGGUCUCUUCGAGUACGGAAUUGGCUACUACACAUCCACAUUCCAGGGAUGAGUCAGAUAUUGCAUCUAGUGAUGCUGAAGCCAGAGUUUUACGACCAAGGGAUCAGCAGAAAGCUAAGGGGCUCUCAAGAAAACGUCGUCAUUUUUAUGAAGUUGUAUUUAGGGAUUUGGAUUCUUAUUGGGUACUUAACCGAAGGAUCAAGAUUUUCUGGCCAUUGGACCAGCGAUGGUAUUUUGGUCAUGUAAUUGGUUAUGAUCCAGAGAAAAAACUUCAUCAUAUCAAAUAUGAUGAUCGUGAAGAAGAAUUGAUUGAUCUGCAACAUGAGAGGUUCAAGCUCUUACUACUACCGAGUGAGGUGCCUGGUAAGGUUGGGAGGAAAAGAUCAACAGCACAUCCAAGAAAGGGGAAGCAUGGGGAAACUGCUGAUAUAGAGGAGAAGACUAAUAGCAGCUGUAUGGAAUCUGAGCCAAUUAUUUCAUGGUUGGCGCGAUCUACUCUUCGCAAAUCACCACCCGUUGGAGUAAGGAAGAAAAAGAGAACAAAAUCUCAAUCAUCCUCAGUUUCAGAAGGGAAAAUUGAGCCAUGGGAUAGCUUGGAAUUGGGUUCUUCUGGGCGUCAUACUGAUAAUUUUGCUUGUAGUUCUGCAUUGCUAAAUAAUUCAGGUGAUACCAUACGGGAGAGCAGGCUGACUGCAGAUAACUUUCUCUCGAGUGAUGAUAGAGCUCCAAUAGUUUAUUUUAGGCGGCGUUAUCACAAGAAAGAUCAACCACCAUCUAGUGUUCUUGAAGGGGGUUUGUGCCUGCUAUCAGAGAAGCCUCCAGUACAUGGAAAUGCACCUGAAUUUGUUGAUUGUAUAGACCUGGAUGUUGACAUGCCAUUGUUGACCACUGAGUGUGGGUAUCCUGCUAAAAGAUUGUGCAAUGAUGAGCUUAUUUGGGACAUUGAUUGCUCUGGUCUUCUAAAGCUGAUUACGCCAGUAACAAGUUUAAAGGUGUCUAAGUUUGAUUUGAGCUUCCCUAUGCAAGGUGUUAGCAGCAAGAUAGUUGGAUGGCAGAGGUUCAUGUUCAUGCUUCAACACGGUACUCUGAUCUCUACGUGGCCUAUAGUCCAUCUGGAGAUACUGUUUGUUGACAAUAUCGUUGGUUUGCGGUUUCUCUUGUUUGAAGGUUGUAUGAAGCAGGCGGUCUGUUUUGUUUUUUUGGUCUUGGCUAUUCUUUGUCUAUUUGAGCAGAAAGAAAUGCAUGAUGAUCAGCAGUUCCCUAUGACCUCAGUCAGGUUUCGAUUUGCUGGUUUACCUUACCUUGAAAAGCAGCUCGUGUUUACGUUUUACAACUUUACUGAGAUGGCAAAUUCCAAGUGGUUGUACCUAGACAGAAAGCUGAAGAAUCACUGUAUGCUCACCAAGCAACUGCCACCAUCAGAAUGCACUUACGAUAAUAUUGAAGCACUCCGAAGUGGUUGUAAUCAAUUAAAAUUGACCAAUGUUUCCCGAAAACCCUCUUCAGUGAUGAACUUACAGAAAAGGUCUAGGCAGCGGGGUACUAGCUUUUCUUCUAGGCAUUCUGGUUGUAUCAAGUUGAGCGGUCUAGCUUUUGCUAGUGAUGAUAUACUCGGAAGAUUUCCUCCAUUUGCUCUUUCCUUUGGUGCCGCACCUUCAUUCUUUCUUAGUCUGCAUUUGAGGCUACUAAUGGAACGCAGCAUUCCUUCCUCCAGCUUUUGGGAUCAAGAUCCUGUAUAUUUGAUGGAUCAUCCAGAUAAUGAGGGUGGGUUAGUGGCUACCGACAAGCUUCUGAUUAAAGAGAAUUCUAUUCUUUCAUCAGUUUCUGUAGGGGAUAAUUCACUGGUCCAUCCAAAUAUUAGAUCCGAGUUAGACUCUUGUUCAAACAUAGAUCUUGGCAAUAAUCUCUCUGUGGAUGUUGCUGAAGCAAUGACUUCGAAGCCUUCCCUUGGCUCUGACGAUUCUCCAGAAAUUGAGGUUGAUAGCAUGCUUCAGCUUGAUAAAAGAAAAGCUCAGCUAACCGAGAGUGAGCACACUCUUUCAUCAGCACAGCCUUUAGAUGUCGAUAACCAGCAUUGUACAGUUGGAAGCAAGGUGAAAGGUGGACCUCGUAAUGGCAUGAUCACUGAACUUCCUGUCCAAGGGGAUGCUGAUACUGGUGUGCAGAAUAUUCGAAACUCUGUUGUCUUAGCUUUGCGUUCCAUCGGUGGAGUAUGCACUCCAAAACCCACUGCUUCUCAAAGUACGUGGGACAGGAGUAGAGAUGGUAUUUCCUGCUCUUUAGCUUCUGCAAGUAUGCCGACUGGCUGGAUCGACGGGAAACAAGAUUUUCUCCUUAGUGGCUUUGGCAAUGGACCUAAGAAGCCACGAACUCAGGUUUCAUAUUCUCUUCCAUUUGGAGGACAGGAUUGUAACUCUAAGAACAAAUUUCAUCAUUCAAAAGGUUUUUCUCAUAAACGCAUCAGAAGAGCUAGUGAGAAGAAAACAUCUGAAGCUUUUGGGACUGCUCAAAGAAAUAUGGAAUUGUUGUCUUCUGAGGCAAAUAUUUUAAUUACGGCUGGGGACCGAGGAUGGAGAGAAUGUGGGGCGAGAAUUGUGCUUGAGCUUUUUGAUCACAGUGAGUGGAGACUUGCUGUAAAAACUUCAGGCGACACAAGAUAUUCUUACAAAGCUCAUCAGUUUGUGCAACCUGGAACAACAAACCGGUAUACUCAUGCUAUGAUGUGGAAAGGAGGAAAGGAUUGGAUUCUGGAGUUUCCAGACCGGUCUCAGUGGGCAACUUUCAAAGAGAUGCAUGAAGAAUGCUAUAAUAGGAAUUUUCGCGCUGCUUCCGUGAAAAAUAUUCCCAUCCCUGGAGUUCGUUUGAUUGAAGAAAAUGAUGAUAAUUCUCCUGAGGUACCGUAUAUUCGCCCUUCUCCGAAAUACUAUCGUCAGGUGGAAACUGAUAUCGACAUUGCUAUGGAUCCAUCCCGUGUUUUAUAUGACAUGGACAGUGAUGAUGAGCGGUGGAUCAUUAAACAUAGAGGCAUAGAAUUUAAUGAAAGGGGGUGUGGAGAUGUCUCUGAUGAGAUGUUUGAGAAAACAAUUGAUGUGCUUGAGAAAUUUGCAUAUGUCAAACAAUGCGAUCUCUUCACUUCGGAUGAAUUAGAGGAAGUCACGGCUGAGGUUGGGCCACUUGAAGCCAUGAAAAUCAUUUAUGAACAUUGGAAGGAGAAGCGGCAGAGAAAGGGAGUGCCUCUCGUUCGGCAUCUACAGCCUGCAUUAUGGGAGAAGUAUCAGCAGCAAGUAAAAGAAUGGGAGCAAAUGAUGGCAAAGAGCAACGUGGUCACAUCCAGUGGGUUUCAGGAAAAGUCCUCAACAAUUGAGAAACCUCCAAUGUUUGCUUUCUGUUUGAAACCACGAGGAUUGGAAAUUCCUAAUAGAGGGUCGAAGCAGAGAUCACAGAAGAAACUUCCUGUUGGUGCUCUGAGCAACGGAAUUCCUGGAGAUGCGGAUAUUUUUCAUUCUCUAGCUGGACGGCGAUUAAAUGGGUUUGCUUUAGGGGACGACAGAGCUGUCUACUCUGCAUAUAAUCAGGGCAUGUCUGAUUCUUCUCCUGUUCUUCAGGGAUCAACAAGGGUGUUCUCCCCCAGAGAUCCUGGGACUGGGGGGUACUUUUCAUUGAGUAGUGAUGGGUAUGAGAAAAAUCAUUACCCGAAACUAUAUAGAAACAAGUCGAAGAAGUUAUGCUUUAUACCAUCCUCAAGUGAUCAGCUGCCAUAUUCUUCAUACAACCAGAGGACACCUGCCAAGAGAAGUUCAGCUCAGUUAUGGAGCUCUUCUGAGUGGCCCAGUCAGAUGCGUUAUCAACCUGAUGGGUUUCAAAGGCAUAACUUUGAUCAACUGGGCCCGACUGAGCUUGAUGAGUUUAGGUUGCGUGAUGCAGCAAGUGCUGCUCGACAUGCCGUCACCGUAGCUAAAAUGAAGAGGGAAAAUGCUCAGAGAAUGCUUUGUAGAGCAGAUCUGGCAAUGCAUAAGGCAGUUGCUGCAAUCAUGACUGCUGAGGCAGUUAAAGCUUCAUGCAGGGAGGCAAAUAGUGAUGUUCAGAUGAGUGAGUGAAACCUUUUCCUCAUCUGAAGAGCUUGCCUGUCACACGGGAUCUCUUCUCCCAAUUGUAUCAGGGGAUUGAAUAUGAUUGCCGAAAGGAUUGAUUUUAUUCCCCAGAUGACUGGAAUCUGUAGAUACACAAGUCCUCUAACAUGGUAUGAGCUGACUCAGAGGGGUGUCUGAAACUUGUUCUUUUGCCGAGUUGUGCCAGGCUUUUCAGAUCACUAGAUUUAGUGUAUCAAGGCAGUAUCAAUGGGUGGUUUGCUAUUAGUUUGCUGAGCUGCUGGUUUUCUCAUUAACUGAAAAGUCUGAAACCCUCCUCCUGUUUGUGCAGUUGCGUCUUUGUGAUGCCGCAAUGAAAGCUAAGGUGAAGUUAGCGUGCUUUGAUGUAGAAUCCUGCUUGGUUGGCAUUUUUCAUUCUGUUCUGCAAGAAUUUUGUGAUUUUCUUUCAGUUAAGAUUCUCGGUGAAGCCAUGAAGUAGUGAUUCGGUAUUGUUUUCUUCAUCUUUUUUUUUGUACAAAGAAGGAUGUAAUUCAUGUUGUAAAGUUAAUUGUAGACACGAUGGAGAACGCAGAUAUUUAUAGCAUCUGUUGCAUAAGAAGGAUGUUAGGGGAGAUGCAAUGAAACAGCGCAAUUUUUAUGAGUUUUUAUUACUUGUGGUGUGUUGCAUGCAAAUAUGCAAUGUUGGGUGGGCUAUUUGCUUUGUAUUAAAGUUGCGAAGCAAAUGUAAGGUGGACACAACCGCAUCAAUAGUAGCUUGGUUUGAGCUUUAUUCUUGUCUACACCU